Manis javanica (Malayan pangolin) is the source of this 107-nucleotide small nuclear RNA. The record is from RefSeq and is a predicted model, not a curated record. NCBI's taxonomy places the organism in Eukaryota, Metazoa, Chordata, Mammalia, Pholidota, Manidae.
GUGCUCGCUUCGGCAGCACAUAUACUAAAAUUGGAACAAUACAGAGUAAAUUAGCAUGGCCCCUGCACAAGGAUGACAUGCAAAUUCAUGAAGCAUUCUAGAUAUAC